AUUGAACGCUGGCGGCAGGCCUAACACAUGCAAGUCGAGCGGAUGAAGGGAGCUUGCUCCUGGAUUCAGCGGCGGUCGGGUGAGUAAUGCCUAGGAAUCUGCCUGGUAGUGGGGGAUAACGUCCGGAAACGGGCGCUAAUACCGCAUACGUCCUGAGGGAGAAAGUGGGGGUUCUUCGGACCUCACGCUAUCAGAUGAGCCUAGGUCGGAUUAGCUAGUUGGUGGGGUAAAGGCCUACCAAGGCGACGAUCCGUAACUGGUCUGAGAGGAUGAUCAGUCACACUGGAACUGAGACACGGUCCAGACUCCUACGGGAGGCAGCAGUGGGGAAUAUUGGACAAUGGGCGAAAGCCUGAUCCAGCCAUGCCGCGUGUGUGAAGAAGGUCUUCGGAUUGUAAAGCACUUUAAGUUGGGAGGAAGGGCAGUAAGUUAAUACCUUGCUGUUUUGACGUUACCAACAGAAUAAGCACCGGCUAACUUCGUG
RNAcentral lists this ribosomal RNA (484 nucleotides) under uncultured bacterium. Its description in RNAcentral is "partial 16S ribosomal RNA". It matches the Rfam family "Bacterial small subunit ribosomal RNA", at positions 30 to 507 of the family's 1533-position model. The record is from RNAcentral.